UACGUAGGCAGCGAGCGUUGUUCGGAGUUACUGGGCGUAAAGAGUGCGUAGGCGGUUUUCUAAGUUUGGUGUGAAAUCUCCCGGCUUAACUGGGAGGGUGCGCCGAAGACUGGAAGGCUUGAGUAUGGGAGAGGUAAGCGGAAUUCCUGGUGUAGCGGUGAAAUGCGUAGAUAUCUGGAGGAACACCGGUGGCGAAGGCGGCAUCCUGGACCAACACUGACACUGAGGAGCGAAAGCCAGGGGAGCAAACGGG
This 253-nucleotide ribosomal RNA is filed under the name uncultured bacterium. RNAcentral describes it as "partial 16S ribosomal RNA". It matches the Rfam family "Bacterial small subunit ribosomal RNA", at positions 524 to 776 of the family's 1533-position model. The record is from RNAcentral.